RNAcentral lists this ribosomal RNA (468 nucleotides) under uncultured bacterium. Its description in RNAcentral is "partial 16S ribosomal RNA". It matches the Rfam family "Bacterial small subunit ribosomal RNA", at positions 28 to 507 of the family's 1533-position model. The record is from RNAcentral.
GACGAACGCUGGCGGCGUGCUUAACACAUGCAAGUCGAACGGAAAGGCCCUGCUUUUGUGGGGUGCUCGAGUGGCGAACGGGUGAGUAACACGUGAGUAACCUGCCCUUGACUUUGGGAUAACUUCAGGAAACUGGGGCUAAUACCGGAUAGGAGCUCCUGCUGCAUGGUGGGGGUUGGAAAGUUUCGGCGGUUGGGGAUGGACUCGCGGCUUAUCAGCUUGUUGGUGUGGUAGUGGCUUACCAAGGCUUUGACGGGUAGCCGGCCUGAGAGGGUGACCGGCCACAUUGGGACUGAGAUACGGCCCAGACUCCUACGGGAGGCAGCAGUGGGGAAUAUUGCACAAUGGGCGGAAGCCUGAUGCAGAAACGCCGCGUGCGGGAUGACGGCCUUCGGGUUGUAAACCGCUUUCGCCUGUGACGAAGCGUGAGUGACGGUAAUGGGUAAAGAAGCACCGGCUAACUACGUG